Pogona vitticeps (central bearded dragon) is the source of this 226-nucleotide non-coding RNA. The record is from RefSeq and is a predicted model, not a curated record. NCBI's taxonomy places the organism in Eukaryota, Metazoa, Chordata, Lepidosauria, Squamata, Agamidae.
GCACCAGGGAAAAUCAAAAUGUAUAGAAGCUGAAUUGUCAACGGCAAGCUAAGGACUGUGACUUUUACAAGUGUCUUAGCUAUGGUGGCUGUUAAAGAAAUCUACGGAUUGAUCUUUGCCGUCUGGGGUAUCGCGGCGUUCCCUACUUCCCGAAGCCGAUACGGUGAUUUAGAAACAUGCGUGGAGGAGAUAAAGGAAAAUGCAAAAAGCCUUUUAAAAUUCUACG